Molecule: ribosomal RNA, 255 nt
Filed under: uncultured bacterium
Lineage: Bacteria
Description: partial 16S ribosomal RNA
Rfam family: Bacterial small subunit ribosomal RNA
Source: RNAcentral
UAUCAAAGCUCCGGCGGUACAGGAUGGACCCGCGUCUGAUUAGCUAGUUGGUAAGGUAACGGCUUACCAAGGCGACGAUCAGUAGCCGACCUGAGAGGGUGAUCGGCCACAUUGGAACUGAGACACGGUCCAAACUCCUACGGGAGGCAGCAGUGGGGAAUAUUGCACAAUGGGCGAAAGCCUGAUGCAGCAACGCCGCGUGAGCGAAGAGAGGCCUUCGGGUCGUAAAGCUCUGUCCUCAAGGAAGAUAAUGAC